RNAcentral lists this long non-coding RNA (685 nucleotides) under Vigna radiata. RNAcentral describes it as "long non-coding RNA (VRAD_LNC010574)". Lineage: Eukaryota; Viridiplantae; Streptophyta; Magnoliopsida; Fabales; Fabaceae. The record is from RNAcentral.
AAGCAUGUGUAAUAAAUAUUGAAGUGCAAUAAUGCAACAAACUUAUAAACAAAAUUACAAAAACAAGGAAUGUGAGGAUAUAAAAUUACAGGGGGUUAUAUGCAAUAAAAACUUGAUAAUCAAAUAAUAAAAAAUAAAUCAUGAAAUAAGACAAAAGUAUAGGUUUAGAGAAAACCAGGGUGCAUGCAACCCGAAGCCCUUUUCUUUCUGUUCCCUUACGUUCCCUUCUUGAAAUUGAAUUUGCUCUUUCUCUUUUUUUUUCUGUUCCCUUAUGCUCUCUUUCCGAAGUUCAAUUUUUUUUCUCCUCUCCAAAUUGGAUUUUUUCCUCUGCUUUUUUCUCUUCGAGGUGCAUAUUUAUAUACACACACAUUGUAAUAUUAUUGUGAUCUUGCCUUAAUGACGAAUUAAUUGACAUUUAACAAAAUAGGGAAAGAAAUGGUCUAAUAAAUCAAAUUAUAAUAAUUGUCAGAAAAUCAUAUUUUUCUUCAAACUGAAUGCAGCAAUCAAUAUAUUAUUUUUUAAUUAUUGCUUGUAAUUAUUGUCAUAAUGCUGAUUCAAAUUAUUACCAAAUAAAACAAAAAUUCAAAAAUAUUCUAAAGUGAUCUGUCAUGCAUUAAUAUUAAUGACUUAUGGGCAAUUUUCCAAGAAAAUCAAAUUUUUUCACGUGCACACCCCUUUUUUCCUU